RNAcentral lists this long non-coding RNA (208 nucleotides) under Daucus carota (carrot). RNAcentral describes it as "long non-coding RNA (DCAR_LNC002772)". Lineage: Eukaryota; Viridiplantae; Streptophyta; Magnoliopsida; Apiales; Apiaceae. The record is from RNAcentral.
GCUGUUGAAUCCUUCCUUCUUCGGUAGGCAACCAAGCGAUUUUUUGAAGAGAUAUGUACAUGCUGUAAUACUCCCAAUGUUGUUUUGAGCAAUCGACCAUAAAUAUAUCACCAUACAAACCUUUAUCACUGAAUCAGCACCAUGAAAAUCCUGCAGAUCUGUAAUCCCGGACAUGAUGAACACACAAAAUCCAAAUAAAAACCUAACU